Long non-coding RNA from Drosophila sulfurigaster albostrigata, 617 nucleotides. RefSeq lists it as uncharacterized. Lineage: Eukaryota; Metazoa; Arthropoda; Insecta; Diptera; Drosophilidae. The record is from RefSeq and is a predicted model, not a curated record. The transcript is spliced from 3 exons.
AUAUAAUGUACUUUCUUUUUAGACCCAAUAAAAAUCACCCAAAUUGUGCCACGCGAUUUGCGUGAUUCGCCCCACUGUGCGACAAUAACAACAAAUUGUUUUUGUGGUCGCAUGGCAACAACAGAAGUCCGAUUCGUUUGAGAUGGAAAUUACCUAUAACACUUCGAGGCAGACGAGUGCAAUUGACGUGCAUGUGGUCUGACCGAAUGAUCCGAAUGUAAACAACAAAUUGUAUCUCAAAGAUACAAAAUAAACUCGUAUUCAAACCAUAUAUGUAUGUAUGUAUGUAUUUUGCAAUUAUGUAUACACACAAACAACUCAAGUAUGUGAUUGGAAAAUUCGUUCAAAUGCAAAAGCGAAAUUAUGAUGAACGCCGCGUGGGGUCAGCCAACCCAACUAACAAACGAGUCUAUAUCAUAGACUCAUUUCCAGAUGCUCAGCGUCCCCCACGGUGCGCAAUGUCAGCAUCUUCAACAGUUUUUGGGACUCGAUUGCCACAAGUGUCCCCCGCUGUUGAAAGCAUAGGGAUGUAAUGAUAGUAGCCGAAUCAAAAACAUAGAUACACAAUGACCCAACUCAAAUUUAUCGGACUUGAAUUUCUUAUUCUUAAAUUUUAU